CAGAGUGCAGUAACAGAGAGCCCUCAGCUCUGAAUACAACGGAAAGGAUCAUUUGGCAGUUUGGAUGUGGGGAUCGUACUGUGAAUGUAUUCCUGAAGGAAUUUCAGAAAAAGUAGCUCUGAACAGUAUUUGAUCAUAUUUCUACAAUUCAUCAGAAUGGAGAUGGCUAUAUACCUCGAAAUUUGUUGCAAAAGAGUCUGCUGGGCUGGACUGCAGAGAUAUGAGAGAGGACACCAAUAUUCUUCUAGUAUUGACAAAUAAGAAAACUCAUAACCUCGGUGACAUGAUGACAGAAGGUGACUUUUAAGUUCUACUAAAACCUAUAGGAAUCAAGAAGAAGCUAUGGAAAUGGGCAUUUGAUCAGUCUUUGAUGACUUUAAUUCCAGCAAGAUGGAGUUCUAAUCGCUGCAAUCCUUGAUAAUGAGUUCAUGAAAAUAAGUUGGUUGUGUUUAAUCCCUGGAUUAUUUUAUAAUGAAUUAUGCUCAGUUAACAAGCGUAAUGGGUUGCCACACAGCACCAGUGUGUGUAUGGUGUGGAACUUGGUGGGCAAUGCCCAGAAAGAAGCUUGGAACCUGGU
Long non-coding RNA from Cuculus canorus (common cuckoo), 577 nucleotides. RefSeq lists it as uncharacterized. The transcript has 3 exons. Lineage: Eukaryota; Metazoa; Chordata; Aves; Cuculiformes; Cuculidae. The record is from RefSeq and is a predicted model, not a curated record.